Molecule: ribosomal RNA, 559 nt
Filed under: uncultured bacterium
Lineage: Bacteria
Description: partial 16S ribosomal RNA
Rfam family: Bacterial small subunit ribosomal RNA
Source: RNAcentral
UGGGGAAUUUUGGACAAUGGGCGAAAGCCUGAUCCAGCAAUGCCGCGUGUGUGAAGAAGGCCUUCGGGUUGUAAAGCACUUUUGUCCGGAAAGAAAUCCUUGGCUCUAAUACAGUCGGGGGAUGACGGUACCGGAAGAAUAAGCACCGGCUAACUACGUGCCAGCAGCCGCGGUAAUACGUAGGGUGCAAGCGUUAAUCGGAAUUACUGGGCGUAAAGCGUGCGCAGGCGGUUUGCUAAGACCGAUGUGAAAUCCCCGGGCUCAACCUGGGAACUGCAUUGGUGACUGGCAGGCUAGAGUAUGGCAGAGGGGGGUAGAAUUCCACGUGUAGCAGUGAAAUGCGUAGAGAUGUGGAGGAAUACCGAUGGCGAAGGCAGCCCCCUGGCAAGUACUGACGCUCAUGCACGAAAGCGUGGGGAGCAAACNGGAUUAAUACCCUGGUAGUCCACGCCCUAAANGAUGUCAACUAGUUGUUGGGGAUUCAUUUCCUAGUAACGUAGCUAACGCGUGAAGUUGACCGCCUGGGGAGUACGGUCGCAAGAUUAAAACUUAAAUAAUU